CUUAAAUUUCUGAUUUGAGACUUUUUUUUUCUAAUAUAAGCAUUUAAUGCUGUAAAUUUCCCUCUGAAUACUACUUUAGCUGCAUCCCACAGAUUUUGAUAUGUUGUACUUUUAUUCAGUUCAAAACGUCUGCUAAUUUCCCUUGAGACUUACUUUUUGGUUGAUGGGUUAUUUAGAAGUGUAUUGAUUAAUUUCCAAGUACUUGAAGACUUUCCUGUUAUCUUUCUGUUGUCGAUUUCUUGUUUAAUUCCAUUAUAGUCAGAAAAAUGCUUUGUAUGAUUUUAAUUUUUAAAAUUUGUAAUGUUUGUUUUAUUAUCCAGAAUAUGGUGUAUCUUGAGGAAUGUUCCACGUGCACUUGAAAAGAAUAUUCUCUUGUUGGGUGGCAUGUUCUAUAGAGUCCCUAGUUAGAUCCUUUGCCUAAGGAUCCUUUGCCUGAUGAUGUUGUUCAGUUCUUCUGUAGCCUUGCUGAGUUUUUCUGUACUACUUGUAUGUAUUACUGAGAGGGGAGUGUUGAUGUCUCCAAUUAUUAGCAUGGACUUGUCGAUUUCUUCUUUCCAUUCUGUCAGUUUUUGCUUUAUAUAUUUUGAAGUCCUGUUGUUGGGUACAUACUCACUUAAGAAUGUUGUGGGGUUUUUUGUGAAUUGGCCCUUUUAUUAUUAUGUGAUAUCCCUCUUUAUCCCUUAGAACUACACCGCCAGCUUUUCUGGGUCUCCAGCUUGCAGAUGGCAGAUUGUGGGACUUCUCAGUCUCCAUAAUUGCAUGAGCCAAUACUUUAUAAUAAAUCUCUUACUAGAUUAGAGAAAGAGAGAGAGAAAAAUCUCCUCUUGGUUCUGUUUCUCUAGAGAACAAUACGAUAUUCUAUUUCUUUGCUAAGGAUUUCUGUUUUUCUGUUCGCUUCAGGAGUGUUCCUGAUUGCUUGCCAUAAGAUAAUCCCAAUAUCUCUGUCCUGUACGCAUUGACAUUGAUUCAUUUUCUUUUCCCAUGUGAUUUUCCUGGUCCUUUGUUUUUUAAUUUUGGAUUGUAUUCUGGACAUUUUUAAUAUUAUAAGACUUUGGGUCUUGUUGAAAUCCUGUGGAGAAUGUUGAUACUUUUGUUCUAGCAGUCAGUUGAAUUGAUUGGGUUCAGGUCACAAGUUCCAGUCUUUCUUCUGUAGGUUGUAGUUCCAAUGUCAGUUCCAAUUGAGUUUUCAAUGUCUUCGCAGUGCUGUUUGGAUCUAUCCCAUAUGUGUGCCACCUAGUGGUCAGUCUUGGAGCUGGGUAGUGACAUAUCAUUAGUUCGGUUCUUAAAAUCUUUGUCAUGCUAAGUAGGAUGGGAUCUACACAUGUACAGCUUAGGGUGGACCCAAGAGUUCAUAAAUAACUUCAUGAGGUUGCUUUUCUCAGUUCUUUCCUCUCCACAAUCUUUCUGGUUCUUUUCAGUUCCUUAGAGUUCCUCAUUUUGAUCUUCCAGCUCAAUAUUAGCCUGCUCUGCUGUAGACUUCUGCAAAGUCAUCUGCAUCCACGAUUAAUCAGCAGGACAGGGGGGAAAAACCGUGGAGGUUGGAUCACCCUGUUAUGGCAGCACCCUGAACAGGGAGCACAUUUUUACUCCUUCAGGGUUUUGGCUUGUGCAGCCUCCUGUUUCUGGCUGUGUCUCAUCGCCAUGGGAUUACUUAAGGGUUGGAGUGUGAGAGAACAGAGAAUAGAGGAAAAAAGGGGGGGGCAGAUUUACAUACUCUUGCUGAGUCUUAUAUAUUUAUUUUCCUGCUUUUGCACCAGAACUAAUGGGCUUCUUUCUACUUGCCCUCUAUGCCCACUUACAGUUCACUCGGGGAUACCAGAGGGAAAGAAAGCGGUAUACUUACGAUGGGUUUGUUUGGACUUGAAUUCUGAUCUUCUGCCCCCAUCCACUUUCUGUUAUUUACUUUUCAGAUUUCUCAAAUAGCUGCUCCAUGCAUUCUGUCCAGCUUUGAUAGCUAUAUUCGGUGGAAGAGACACUCCCAUUCUAUUUUUCUCAGAAGUGGGUCCCCAUUCCUCUUUUUGAAGGGCAGUAUCUAUUGCCGUUAUCCAUCUCCGUCUCACCAUUAUAUAUUGGGUUAAUGGGAGCAGAUAACUUGUCUUUCUCAGAUGUGUAGAUAAAGGAGAGCUACAUCUGAGGAUCCUCAGUCACACCUGGACCUGAUGCCAAUCAUGAAAUUAUGGCCUCUAAGCCCAAUGCCAUGACUGGAUGAGACUUUGGAGUCUUGAGAGAGAGUAAAUGCAUUUUGAUGAUGGAAGGAACAUGAAUUACUGGGGCUGUGGCAGCCAUGAAAAUGCACUACUCGGAGCUUCUGCUGUGGGGAGGCAGUUGAAGGGUGGCUCUGGCUAUUGCCCCUUUGGAUCCUCCACUGCUUUCAUGCUGAAGCCAUGCUUCUCAAGCCAACUGUGGGAGCACUAACAGAGGCCCUUCCAGUGAGCCUCAGGACACCUCUGAUGGCCACGUUGGCUUAAAGACUCCCUGCUGGACUGGAUGAACCUUUCUUAGAACUGCCUUGCAGUCUGAGACUCCUCCUCCUCCUUCAACUUCUUACUUCUUUCACAGUGUCAGACCUGCGUCACAACCUGAAGGUGCUCCAUGUCUUCCCUGGCUGUCCUCCCCCUCUAUCUUUCACAGACAUUUUCUCUAAUUAAUCUAAUGCCCAUGUAAUCCUAGCUUGAAAACUGUUUAUUGGAGGACAAAACAUAACCCUGGGCCCAAGGACAAACUGUGGUAGAUUGUUAUAUUAAUGAGCCUGAUGUAUCAUGCCUCUCAGUAUCUACUCUCCUGUGUAUUCCUCACUGUAUCAGUUAGGGUUCUUCAGAGGAACAGACCAAAAGGAUGUAUAUAAAGAGAUUUAUUUUAAGGAAUUUGCUCAUGCCAUUAUAGGGGCUGGCAAAGCUGGAAACUUAGACAGGGCUUCCUGCUGCUAUCUUGAGGCAAAAUUUCUUAUUUUCUGGGAAACCUCAGUUUUUGCUCUUAAGGCCUUUGACUGGUUGAUGAGGGCCACACAUGAUAUCAAGGGUAAUCUCUUUUACUUAAAGUCAAUUGAUUAUAGAUGGUUAUCACACCUACAAAAUACCUUCAUCAACACCUAGGUUUGUGUUUGAUUAAAUAACUGAGAACUGUAUUCUAGCCAAGUCGACACAUAAAACAAACCAUCACACCCACAUUGACUUUGGGCUGGGCCAUGUGGCUUGCUUUGGCCCAUGGGUCAGCAACAGACAUACGAUGAUCAUCUGUACAAUGAGUCUUGCCCUCUUGGAAUACCACCACCAUUGUUAAAGGAAUCUAGCCUUCUUGAACAUUAAGGAUGACAUGCAGAGAGAUCCAACUGUCCCAACUAAGUCCAACCCCUAGCCCACCUAUCAGCUUAUUGUGGUCACCUGGUUGAGCCCACACAAGUCAAGCAGCAGAACCACCUCAGACUAAUCACAGAAUUGUGAGAAAUAAUAAAUAGUUGUCACUGUGUUCAGACAUUAUGUUUUUGAGUGGUCUGUUAUCAGCAAUAGGUAGUCAAUGAUGUCUCCUUGACAAUGUUGAGAAGAACCACAAAUAUAAUAUAAAAACAAAUAUAUUAUGUAUUUCCCAAAAUAUUUAUCUCCGGUGAGUGUUUAAUAAGACUUUAUCUUAUUUAAAAUUUACAAAGAUGAAUCCAUAGCCAGACUACACUCUGGAUGUAUGUCUUUUAGCCGUGCAUGUGAGUGUGUGUGUGUGUGUGUGUGUAUGUGUGUGCAUGCUCUUGGAAAGCUUUAUACAGAAAUGUCCUAAGAGAGUUUUGAGUAACUCUAACCAUUUUUUUAGGUUCUUGUCCCUGGAAAAAUUAUACUUACCUCAAAAUGAAUUUCACUUAUUGUAUUUCAGAGAACCAAGGGUUUAAAAGUAUCUUUUAAAACAACUCACAAGACCCAGCCUAAAGAGGUUGGCUCGAAUUAUUUUUAAUGUCCUUUCCAUGUGCUAUAUGACAGUAGAUUUUACAGCUUGUGAGAAUCUGGGUAAGGAAAAUUUACCUAGCAAGGUUUAAAAGGGAAAGUUUCUCACUAAGAAAAUUCCAAUUACUAAAGUCAAAAUUUUUUACUUAAUUUAGCAUUUAAUUAGUAGAGAGAAAGAGCUGCUCCAGGAAUCCUUGGCUUCUAAUAUUGAGAUUCCAUAGAAAACGGUAUACUACGUUCUAGAGCAACUAGCAUUACUGGAACUCAUCUCGCCUGUGAGUUGAGCAGUCGCAGCUGUUUGUAGCCCCAUUUCCAGAAGACAACCUUCAGCACACUCUUGUCCGAGAAUUCCUACUGAGCCACCAACUUGAAUAUACACAUACUACAAACUUCUUUGAUAUUCCAUUUAAGUUCUAUGGUUUUUAAACAAGUUAUUUAAUUUGUCAACUAAUCUGAAAGAUAUUUGCAGGUAUGAUUAGCAGUUUUGGGGAUUACCUGCACUUUGAAGAAGUCAAGAAAUCCACAAUUGUCUGACAGCCCUGGAGAUUUUGCCUAUUGUGGUAGAUCUAUGGUGUGUGGUGCUCCAAUUGCUUCCCAUUUGGAGGGGCAUUCCAUUGUGAAGUGGAUCACACUCAUUAGUGCUUAUCAUAUUUCCCUUCCUCUACUUACUGCUAUAUGCCAAAAACAUGGCUGAAUCCAAGAUGGAAGUUAGACUACUCCAUUCUACUGUGGUCUAGCAUAUUAACUCUGCAAGGAUGACUUAAAUAUCUCUUCAGAUAUAAGUGUGGAUAAGAAUAAGUACAUCAUUAUCGAUCAUAUAUCUAUCCAGUGUUAACUCAGCAAUGAAAGAGAGCAGUGUCAGGGAUUUCCAAAGUAUAAAAAUCUGAAAGACCUUUACAUUUCUAUCUUUGGAUGCAAUUGGAUACAGCACAAUUAACCUCAGUGGGAAUGGAAGGGGCUAGAACAACCCACUGAAGUAGAGAGGUCAGUAAAAGGAGAGGUGAACAGAGGGUUGAUCAAAUUUCCAGUAGGUAUACUAUACUAUUCUGAUAGGCUGGAAAUAAAUGUUUAGUCCACUCGUGUUGUGGUGCAGGUUGGAAGGAGCAUCAGUAUUAUUGCAGAUAGGCAGAGACCAGUGACGGGAGUCCAGGAACAGAUUGGAAGACAGUUGGCUUCAUGGAAUUCUGCUGGCAAGAAGCAGAUCCCCAAAUGCUGAGGUAAGGUUCAGAGAUGGGCUAGCAGCAGUUAAGGUAGCAAAGAUUCAUUGGAGGUUAUGUAGACGGUGUCCUGCUAAAAGAAGACAGGAAGAGGAGUUUAGUACUUCACAUUCAACAGAUGUCAUAUCAGACUUGAGUCUCUCUGACCGUCGUUAGCCUGGGCCAUGCCAGAUUUCACAGUUCUCUGGGGCCUGAUUCGUCCUAAGAACUUGCCCACAUAUAGACCACAGUGUCUGGACUGUUGUCAGAGCAUGCAGCGGUCAGAUGUGGCAGAUAUUGCAGUUGUUGCAACUGACACCUUCCAAGAGUUGAUUCUGUUGGCUCCUGGACUCCCACAGCAUCCAUCUGAAUCAUACAUGCUCAAUCAAUGUCCAUGGUGUAAGUUUUCCAAAUGGCUAAAUACUCCACCAUAUUUUCACCCCUAUCAUGCUCCAAACCUCCUUGUUCCUAAUGUAGCCCUUACUGCUCACCAUCAGCCACCAACCGGCCCUGCAGUCCACUGCCCUAACCCUUCUCCUGUAUCUUCUGAAAUUGCCCCUCUGUUUUCAGCAAGCUCUCUGAUGGCUCCCAGUUUUUUCUGAGCGUGUGCUUCACCUUCCAGCUUAGCUGAAAUAUGUCUCAAGUGGUGGAUGCUUUUCCUUUCAUGUCUCACAAACCUCAGGGUCAGAAGGUGGGAUGGGUGCCAAGGAAUGCAAGGUUGGUUUAACAUUUGAAAAUCGAUGUAAUUCACUGUGUUAACAAAGUAAAAAAGAAAAAUGAUAUGAUCCUCUCAAUAGACAAAGAAAAAGGAUUUGACAAAAUUCAACAUCAAUAUCUGAUAAUUUCUUGGCAAACUAGAAAUAGAAAGGGAUUUUCUCAACCUGAUAUAGACCAUAAGCAAAAAUCAAUAGCUAGCAUCAUAUUCAUGGUGAAAGACAGAAGACUUUUCCCCUGAGGUCAGAAUAAGACAGAAUGUCUGCUUUUACCAUUUCUAUUUGACAUUGUACUGGAGGUUCCACUCUGUUGUUCACAGACAGCAUGAUCAUCUAUGUAGAAAAUCUGAUGGAAUCUAUAAAAAGCAUCUCACUAAUAAGUGCAUUUAACAAGGUUGUAGGAUACAAGAUGAUUGUACAAAAAUCAAUUCUAGGGGCCAGCCUCCUGGCAUGGUGGUUGGGUUUGUGUGCUUAGCUAUGGUAGCCUGAGGUGUGCAGGUUCAGAUCCUGGGCACAGACCUACAUACCACUCAUCAAGCCGUGCUGUGGUGGCAUUCCACAUGCAAAGUAGAGGAAGAUUGGCAACAGAUGUUAGUUCAGGGCCAAUCUUCCUCACCAAAAGAAAGGAAAAAAAAGAAAAAUCAAUUCUAUUUCCAUAUAUCAAGAAUGAAUAAUCAGAAAUUAAAAUAAAACAAAACAAAAAGAUUUAAAAGAGCAUCAAAAAUUCAAAAUACUUUGGUAUAAAUCUAAUAAAAGAUGUGCAAGAUCUGAAAACUACACAAAAUAUUACUGAGAGAAAUUUAAAAGAGUGAAAUAAAAGAAGAAGUAAGCUUUGUUCAUGGUUUGAAAGACGAUAUUGCUAAAAUGACAAUUCCUCCCAAACUGAUCUGUAGAUUCAACACAAUCCAGACAAAAAUUUUAGUAGGCUCUUUUUUAGAAGUCAAUAAUGUGAUUCUAAAAUUCAUAUAAAAUGCAAACGAUCAAGAAUAGCUGACACAAUUUUGAAAAAGAAGAAUAAAAUAGAGGACUUACACUACCUAAUAUUAAGCUGUAGUAGUCAAGACAAUACAGUAUUAACAUAAGAAUUAGAUCCACCCAGUCCAGAUAGACCCACACAUACAGGGACAAUUGAUUUUGAUAAAGGUACUAAAGAACUCAGUGGAGAGACGGUUGUCUUUUCACCAAAUGGUGCUGGAACAAUUGGAUAUCCAUGGAGACUCAUGCGUAGGCCAGCUCAACGGUGGAGUGAUCCUGCUGUGCUGUAUUGGUGAUUGAAAGGCAUGAGCAGGCACGGCCUGGCGGUGCAGCAGUUAAGUGCGCACGUUCUGCUUUGGCCGCCCGGGUUCACGGGUUUGGAUCCCAGGUGUGGACAUGGCACCGAUUGGCAAGCCAUGCUGUGGCAGGCGUCCCACAUAUAAAGUAGAGGAAGAUGGGCACGGAUGUUAGCUCAGAGCCAGCCUUCUUCAGCAAAAAGAGGAGGAUUGGCGGCAGAUGUUAGCUCAAGGCUAAUCUUCCUCAAAACAAAAGCAAAAACAAAAAAAAUCUUAGAAAAAAAGAAAGGCAUGAGCAGCACUGCCAUCUUCAAUAUGAGGUUGAGAAAUGGUAAGACCUCUUGGAAAAUUUCUGAACGAAUAAAGAGCAAAACAAAAGAAGCAAUCAUAUCUCAAAUGGUAGUUAUGCUUCUAGAAAAUUCAGUAUCUAUUAAAACUAUGCAAAAUGAGAUAUGUUUGUAUAUAAGAUGAAAUUAGGCUCAGAUCAUUAGAAUUGUGGUUGGUGCGUAAUGUAUGUUCAAUAAGGAGUUAUUGAACAGACUAAAUAAGGGCUGCUUUCUGACUUUAUCCCCUUGCCACAUCCCUUUCACUUUUAACUUUAAAGUUUCUCAAAGCCUUUGAAAGAAAAGGGUGAAAUGCUUUAAAUCUCACUCAUUUACUCAGGGGUAUUUUUCCUCUGGGAAACUCAACUAAAUGUCCAGUUCUCCAGACUUAUUUUUCCUGUAAUGUAUAAGCUGUAGGAGCAACGAUCGCUGAUCCUGAGCUGUAGCUCAGGGUUAAUCUCCCUGCGGGAAAGCCUGCCCUGUCCUCUGCAGAGACACACUGUUUCUCUCUUCCGCUUAAAGACAGCACAUUUCAACAUAACAGGAAAGCUUCUUAAGACUGAGAUGUACAGCCUUAUGAAAUCUGAUUUAUUGGUUUUCAUCAUAAUUAAUCUGCUCACGUGUUGUCCGGAGCUUGUCCUCGGCCUUUUCCUGCUACAAGCUCGUGGUCAGUUGCAAUCUGAUCAGCUGCCCACUGUAGGGAGUCGGCCAGAAUCAUUAGCAAACCUCGGUGUGUUUCAAAUAAAAUUUCCCCUUGAAUAUCUGUAUCAGCUCGCAUAUUAACUAUAAUUAUUUUGAUCACCUUAUUCCCUAUCCUGAAAAAUCUUUGAGGACUAGUUUCACUAUUUCUUUGCCAUUUCAGUACAACUGCCAGACUCGAUCAAACAAAAUGCACAAAAAUCCUGAGAAAUAAGUUUUACCAUUGAGGAGUACAUUUGUUGCGUCUUAUGGGGGCACCACCAAUUCUUACAAUACCACAAACGCCUAGCUAAAACCCAAAGGCUCCCCACAGCAUGAAGUCCUCCACACUCAGGGCAUAAGAUCGUGUGGAGGGCUCUGGGUAUACACUCUGGCAAUAGUGAACAUUGACACAGGGCUGCAAAGCAAAACAUCUUCAUUUAUUUUUUAUAAACCUUCCAUUUUCUGACAAGGAUUUAGAUGGCUUAGGAAGGAUUUCAAAUGUGGAAAUGUUUGAUGGGAGUUAGUUAAGAGUAUUAAGUGACUGGAAACCACAAAAAGCCUGGGAUGGACAAUAAUUCUCCAUGCAUCAUCUGCUGGAUGAUGUGGGAUUUUCUUGUUUCAAAAACAUAAAAAUAAAAAGGUCCCAUUCUAAGAGGCUUCACAGCAGAGAACGAACUCCCAUUAUUCUCCUCCAUGUAUCCAUUUUUAAUUUCCACUAAUGUUUUUAUAUUAUUUGGUCAAUCAGUUGUCAGUUUCUUUUAAAAGUAAAACAAUCUACAUGCUUCUGAUUCUGAUGGGUACACAACUCAAUAUUUACAUGUAAAUUGGUCCAAACUAGUAGAUUUGCAUUUUACACAUUACUGAAGAGAAUGGAACUAAAUUAGGUCUCCCUUUUGUGUGCUUCACAGCUUGUCUCUUUACUAAAUCACUGUUUUUGCCCCUUGCUUAUGUGUCAUUAUUUCUGCCAUCUUCAGUGUUUCUCUGCAACCCACAGAGAGACAUUUAUUCUAGCUUUGAUAAGGUACAGGAAGUGGAACUUGUUGGUCAACACUUCAGACAAAACAGAUGGGGAAGAAAAGAAGUGUGUGACAUGAGACAUGCAGAAAUUUGGGUGUCUACAAUUAAUCAUAGUUCACAGCUGACAAAAAAAUGACAGUAAUUGAUGUGACCCUUUGAGAAACAAUCUGGAACUUCAGCACCCUGGGAAAUCUUGUUCAUUUUUGCUCAGCUACUACUGAAUUAAUGUGUGUUGUAAAUUGCUACUCAGAGGGACACUUCAUAAAGUCAGAGUUUCUGGAACAAUUCCCACACCAUGAGACAUCCUAAAAAAUCAUCCAUUUUUCUGACUUCUCACCAUUCAGUGUUGUGUCACCCACUGUAACAAGCACAGUCCUCAGAUAAAAGAUGAACAUGCCAAUUUAUGUGCUCUGCGUUUUGCAGAUGUCAAUAGCCUUCGUAACUCAAUCAGACCUCCAGGAAGUUUAUUUGUUAGCUUGAAAUGUUAUCUGUUUUGGUAGAACGCAAUGGUGUAUGAUCUCCUUCACUGGCUCUGCAGCUGUAGGGGGACAUGCAGCCCCACUCUUGCAGAUGUAGCCUCAGUGUAAGUGGCCUCACCCCAAAGACCAUGUAACUAUUGGACGGGCAUUUUUCUUCUUGUAAAGGGUGGAAGCUUACAUGUAGAGAACACGCUUCCAAGUUCCACACCUGAAUAAGGCAAAGGUCCCUCGUAAUGCAGUACUACACAGAUCUCCAGAGCAACACAAAUGUAAGAAACGUGGUCUACUGCGGAUGCAAGACAUAGAUUACAAUUUCUAUCCAUAGUUGAUUCUCAACUGUAAAAAAGAAUAAGCCUAGUUAAUUUUCAAAAGAGAAAUUGGCACUGGUCUCCUUACUUAGUCCAUAUAUCAGAAGGUCACAUGUUACGUAAAGUGAGUGAGAGAUCCACAAGGUGGAGAGGUCAACCCUGCAUCCUCAGCUCACACAUCUGCUUUCAGCAUAUUACCAGGCAUCGUAGGUAAACGGAUUGAUGGAUUGUUAUCUAGUUUUGAUUACUGUACCUCACAAAAUAAACACAUGCCUGUAAAAAAUCUCUAUAAAUAAAUAGUACAUUAACAGUAAUACCAAAAAUGCUAGUAAAAGCAAUCGACGAGGAAAUAGUAAUGCUGACACCUAUUCCUAUUAUCAUCUCUUUGUCAACCACACUACAAGAUAAGAAUGAUGAUUAUCUAAUUAGAUCUUCUGAGAUGAUGGGCACAGCCAUUUGGAAUCAAGACUAUUUGAAACCAGGAUUUACAUCCCCUGUCAUUAACUAUAGUUAAUAAAUUAAAGCUUAAAUACUGUAUUUCAGAUUUAGCUCCUCUCUUUAAGAUAGAUUUGUAUAUUUUAUAAGGUGUAUAAUAUAUUAAUAUUGUAGGAUAUGUAUGUUUAUUGUGAAUGAAUGAAUAUUUAUUGAGUAUACAUAUUCAAAAAACUUAAGAGAUUGAGGGCACAUUCAAGUACGUGUAGACAAUUUUUUUCAUAUUCAAGGUAAAGUGUAGUCAAGUAUGAAGAAUUGGUGACAUUCUAAGUACUCAAGGUGUAUAGCUGUAUUUUUUUCGAUAAAAAUUUAAAUCUAACUGUAGUAAUUACAUGGUUUUUCUUUUUUUUCAACUUUGGAAACCUGAGAUGCUAUAAAAAGAGCCGUACAAGAGUCAUAGUCAGAUUGAACAAAGGUAUUCAUUAGUGGAAGUUCUUAACCUUAACUUAAUAACUUAUCUAAGAGUUGAGAGAAGACUUCCAUUUUCCUUGCAGAAACCUCAUACUAUCUUUGCCAAAACCAAGCCCCAAACAACAGCUAACAGAAUAUUAGAGACUUUUAAUGUGAACUUGGGAGGAUGUGAUCUAGGGGUGGAGUGAGAUACAUUACAGUGUGGUGCACACUGCACCACACUAUCAUCCUACCAUCAUCACUAGGAAAUGACAAUGCUGUCACCUGCAAGCACGCCAUAAAAUGAAGGUGAGUAAUAGCUGUACCCUCUAUUUUCUGGACACUUUCUAUGUGCUAAAGCUCAUUUUAUCCUCACAUCAGACAAGAAACUGGCCAUUAUUAUGUCCAUUAUACAGAGGAGGAAACUGGCUUAAAGUCUUAGAUAGAUUUCACAAGCUGAUAAAUGUCGGCUGUGAUAUUGGCAUCCAUAUUAGAAAUUUGAUUCCAUUAGAAGCAGAAUCAGAUGUGAAAUUCAGAGAAGCAAAUAUUCCUUCAAUAUAUAAAGAGUUCAAAAGAAUUUGAUCUGCUAAAUAUUUGAACGGGAUGCUUCCAGAGAAUGACUUCUCUCUGGAGAUAAUGAUGGAGCAAUUUGGUAAUCUCUAUUCAACGAUUUUAUAGAGGAAGAUUCAGAUGUUGGCUAGGGCUUGCAAGUAGAUGCUGUCUUUCACUGUCGUCACUCUAUGAUACCACCACUUUAUCCCAGAAAACCUUUUUUGAGGCUUCAAAAUUUUCUGAAGCCAAGGGGGAUUAUGUUUAUUAUUAUCAUCACUCACCAAUACACCACAUCAUUUUUAAGAUAAGCAAUAAUAGUCUAAGCCUUAAAAUUGUAAUGGAUUUGCUAUUGCACAAUUUAAAGGGGUAUUUAUUUACUAUGUAAUUUUGACAAAAAAUGUCCACCGUUUCCUUCUCUUUAAAGCUCAGAAGUAGUUAUUGCCAUGAUAAUUGGUAAUAACUGUACCUAUAGAAGGUAAAUAAAUUUUUUAAGGGAUUGAAUGCGAUUCUGAGUUCUGUUUGUAUAAACAGCUCAUCCUAAAGUAGGCACUUUUUUUCAAGUGAUGAAGAUGCAGUUGUUAUGUUACAAAUUAUAAAACAAGAUUUUUGUACACACAUUUACGCAUAACAGUAUAGAUUUUUUACCUAUACCCACAUACAGGUAGAUAAAUAGAUAGAUAAUAUGUAUACACACACAUAUUCAAACAUAUAACACACGCCUUUAUAAAAUGAUAAGGACUGAACACUACCUGUCAAGAACUUUGAAGGAUCUGGAAUUUUAUUCUACUUAUGAGGUAACAAAUUAGCCUACCAGUUUCAUGGAUGCUCUGACCCAAGACUCCUGGGUCACAGACAAAAAAUAGCUUAUUACUCAUAGCAAUAGCAAUGGCUGGAGUAUCACCAUUUUUGCACUAAUUUCUGCCCCCCAAAUCAUAUGGGACAAUGUGAAGAAGGGCAGAUGACACCCGCAUGUGCACUAAGGUGUAUUACAAAUGAAGAACCCUGAGCUUAGGGAGCCCAAAUCUUUUAUAAUGGGCAGUAAGUCUGGCUGCCUUAGCGCCAGUGGGAGACAUUGUUUUUAUGAUACUGGACAGUAAUCAAACCUGCCCUUUCCUCUGGAGGGAACGCAAUUUCUCUCUUCCAAGGCUGUUUGCUAAAUUAAUAUCCUUGAAAAGAUAUUCCAGAACAAAAGGAAUCUGUGUCUCUGUUGGUAAGAGACACAGAUAUGCAGGAGACUUAUGGAGAAUUGUCUCCUAAGACCACCAGAAAUAUUUAGUCAGCAUUUGGUUUGAAAGGGGCGCAUGGCACAGUGCUCAGGAAAAUCAUCUGGUCUUCAAUCCUGUAAUGGCCAAACAGAACAUAAAGACAUGUCAAACGUAUGGACUUUUCCACAUCACCUUUCCUGGAAAGCACUUGUUUCCUAUUCAGGGGUCACUGACACAUUUGGCAGCAGAGAGCAGAGAGCGAUGCCGCUGGACUUGUGUCUGCAUCACUUGCUGCCUGGGAACUGUUCUGCCAACCUGCCUUCUGGGCUCCCGCAGAAGGAUUUUGGAGGAGGGCAGUUGUCAUCCAUGGCAAAUCACCAGACAAUAUUAACUAUGCCAGGAACAUUCAUCGAUUAAUAUUGAAUACUGCCAUAGUGUUUCUCUUGUCAAAGUUUGGCUGGAAGACUCCACCUUUGGACAGACUUAUUCCCAGGAGCACCUGUAUGUGGAGGACUCGAUGGAAACCCGGGAAAUCCAGAAACGAGACUUACGAGAUUUGUGGGAUUUCAAUGUGUGGAUCUUAAACGCAACAAAGAAGUGACAGGUCCCUAAGAGCCCCUCCAGAAAAACUGCUCUUUGAAUCUGAAAUUCACUUCGAAGUAUCAUGGCGGCUCCCCGACGCCGGUCCGGAGCACCCUGGCCUCAUGUGUGUGCCAUCAUCUCCUCCAUCCCACUUAAUCGGCACCCCCACCCCACCCCCGGGGGAACCACUCAGCCAACUUUCCAUGUUGCUGGAGUUCAGCGGGAUAAAGAACAAUUUUCCUGUUCUAAGAUCUUCUGUUGCAUCAGAGGUGGCCAACCACAACUAUUAAUUCUAGAGGGCAUUGAAAACGAG
Long non-coding RNA from Equus caballus (horse), 13448 nucleotides. NCBI's taxonomy places the organism in Eukaryota, Metazoa, Chordata, Mammalia, Perissodactyla, Equidae. The record is from Ensembl.